UGCAGAGCUGCUCCGCAGGCCGCUCUCCGCCUGGGAGGCGCGGGCCGCGCUUGCCUGGUGGCUGUGCGCUCUUCAGUUGCGCUGCUCGGCCUCAGGACACUUCUAGAAGGAAAAUUGAUUCUUCAUUUCGCUUCAGACGAAAGGAGCUAAAAAGUCUGCCAACUUAAAGAACUCGGACUCUCUUAGGGUGUACCACGUGACCUGUCGCAUUGCGCUCCGAGAUAUUCUGGAAAUGCUACUAAAGGAUCCAUUUAAAACCCCUGGAACACAAGUGUUAGUGCUGUUUCUGUUGUUACUGUGAAUGGCUCCUGGUAAAUAGGCCAUGGGUGAAGAGACCAUGCUUAUCAAGAAGAACAGGCAUCUCUAAGCAGAGACUUUGCUCCAAAGAGUUGCAGAAGUUGCUGGGGAGGCCAUACCAGUGGGAUGUGGAAAAGAUAGCUUUGACUACGUUGGAAGCGCCGAGAGCCAGAGGUUCCGAUAAAGGAAACACCUUUCUGAUCUGAUAUCGAAGAGUAUGGUGGAUGUGCUUCUAAUGACAAUCUAGUGGUGGGGGAAGCAGCCGAGAGAAGUCGGUAGCCCAGUUUUCCAGUCAUGCCAAGACAGGAAGAGGAGGACUAGCUACCGAGAUUCCCUUGAGAGUGGAGAAAGAGGAAGAGAAUCCUGAUGGGAGAAUCCUGAUGGGAGGAUUAGCCCAACCCCAAGAUCACUAUAUGGGUAUUGUAAUUGGGGAAACAGAAAGCUGACAGAAGAUUAAAGCUUUGUGUGAAAUAAAGGGUCUUUCUGAUCCGUCCUGAGUAGGAGG
This 802-nucleotide long non-coding RNA is filed under the name Struthio camelus australis. Its description in RNAcentral is "lncRNA (ENSSCUG00000001791.1)". Lineage: Eukaryota; Metazoa; Chordata; Aves; Struthioniformes; Struthionidae. The record is from RNAcentral.